CCGGGGUGUGCUGGGCCUGGGGCGAGGCCCAGCUCCCUGGGCACUGCGGCAGCUCCUCUCCUGGGCCACAGCAGCCGCUUCUUUUGUCUCUGCUAAAGUUCUGCCAAGCAGUGCGGUUUUAAUGGAGUGAGGGCUGGGGACCGCGAGUAGAAGCUUGGUGGGCACAGAAGCACUUCCCCAGCGUGGACUUUUACUCCUUUUUGACUGCCUUCCCACCUCCUUCUGCCACCAAGGCUGCCCCCACCCUGAGGGAGUCUGUGUUCCCUCCGGUUCUGCCCCUCUCAUUUCCUUCUCCUCCUGCCCACAUGGAAGGUCUCUAGGAGUGCCCAGAGCCACGGUGUGUGGUGCCUGACCCAGGGGACAGGUCUCCUCGGACUCUAUUCAUAAGAAAUAAAGAGCCAAAAGGAGGAAGUCCACCCCAAGCUGCCUUCAAAAGCAAAGAUCCUGCAAUCAGAAGUGGCAGCUCUGUGAGAGCUGAAGAGGAUGUGAGGGAGAAACCAGAGAGCUGUGAUGGAUGCCAGUCAGGCCAGCGAGACUGAAAUUUCCAAACUCAUUUUCAGAGGAGAUGAGAGUGACCAAUCUUCUUGUGCUCAGGUUGGAACAUAAAAUUUGCUGCUUUGACUUAGUUUCCCUGCAGACUAGCACAAAUUAUAGAGCAGAAGGUGAAAAGGAGGAGAAAAAUAUAAAUGAGGUGAGAAAAUGGAAACAAGCAAAGAGGACAGUGAAAGAGUGUGAAGAGAAAGGGGGAAUUAGGAAAUAAACUCAACUGUGCAGAGCAGAUGAAUGCCUUAGGAGGAGAAUUAGUGAGGAAAAUGAGUCUGUUGUGAUUUUUUCGUUACUACUACUGGGAAGGCUCCAGAAAUGACCUAACGAUGGAUGCUGUAAAACAAGCUAUUUCUUGAAGGGAAAUAUGCACUACUUGUUUUAGCAUACGUUCAUGGAGAGCUGCAGAUAACCACUGGAAAUAAGGUAAUGCUUUUCUAGCUGCUGGUGGUACCUAAUCAUCCUCUCUCAUCAGUCUUGUAUCUUUUUUA
RNAcentral lists this long non-coding RNA (1034 nucleotides) under Parus major (Great Tit). RNAcentral's name for it is "lncRNA (ENSPMJG00000011187.1)". Lineage: Eukaryota; Metazoa; Chordata; Aves; Passeriformes; Paridae. The record is from RNAcentral.